Molecule: ribosomal RNA, 957 nt
Filed under: Coltricia cf. oblectans TAA195036
Lineage: Eukaryota; Fungi; Basidiomycota; Agaricomycetes; Hymenochaetales; Hymenochaetaceae
Also listed under: 1 other name
Description: eukaryotic LSU rRNA
Rfam family: Eukaryotic large subunit ribosomal RNA
Source: RNAcentral
UUGACCUCAAAUCAGGUAGGAAUACCCGCUGAACUUAAGCAUAUCAUUAAGCGGAGGAAAAGAAACUAACAAGGAUUCCCCUAGUAACUGCGAGUGAAGCGGGAAGAGCUCAAAUUUAAAAUCUGGCAGCUCUGCUGUCCGAGUUGUAAUCUGUAGAAGCGUUUUCUGCAUUGGACCAUGUACAAGUCUCUUGGAACAGAGCGUCAUAGAGGGUGAGAAUCCCGUCCAUGACAUGGACUACCAAUGCUUUGUGAUACGCUCUCAAAGAGUCGAGUUGUUUGGGAAUGCAGCUCAAAAUGGGUGGUAAAUUCCAUCUAAAGCUAAAUACAAGCGAGAGACCGAUAGUGAACAAGUACCGUGAGGGAAAGAUGAAAAGCACUUUGGAAAGAGAGUUAAACAGUAUGUGAAAUUGUUGAAAGGGAAACGCUUGAAGUCAGUCACAUUCUGCAGAACUCAGCCUUGCCUUAAGGCUUGGUGCACUUUCUGUAGGAUGGGUCAACAUCAAUCUUGGUCAGUGGAUAAAGGAGAAGGGAAUGUAGCACCUUUACGGGUGUGUUAUAGCCCUCCUUCAUAUACAUUGGCUGGGAUUGAGGACUGCAGCAUGCCCUUUGUGGCCUCAACUUCUAGUAUGUUACAUGCUUAGGAUGUUGACAAAAUGGCUUUAAGCGACCCGUCUUGAAACACGGACCAAGGAGUCUAACAUGCCUGCAAGUGUUUGGGUGGAAAACCCUUGCGCAUAAUGAAAGUGAAAGUUGGGAACCUCCGCAAGGGGGUGCACCGAUGCCCGGCCCAGAUGUUUACUGACGGUGCUGCGGUAGAGCAUGUAUGUUGGGACCCGAAAGAUGGUGAACUAUGCCUGAAUAGGGUGAAGCCAGAGGAAACUCUGGUGGAGGCUCGUAGCGAUUCUGACGUGCAAAUCGAUCGUCAAAUUUGGGUAUAGGGGCGAAAGACUAAUCG